RNAcentral lists this ribosomal RNA (826 nucleotides) under uncultured Bacteroidota bacterium. RNAcentral describes it as "bacterial SSU rRNA". It matches the Rfam family "Bacterial small subunit ribosomal RNA", at positions 49 to 866 of the family's 1533-position model. The record is from RNAcentral. Lineage: Bacteria; Pseudomonadati; Bacteroidota.
UAACACAUGCAAGUCGAGGGGCAGCACAAGGUAGCUUGCUAUCUGGGUGGCGACCGGCGCACGGGUGCGUAACGCGUAUGCAACUUGCCCUAUACAGGAGGAUAACCCGUCGAAAGACGGACUAAUAUUGCGUAUGCUCACAACUUGGCAUCAAGAAGUGAGGAAAGAAAUUCGGUAUAGGAUAGGCAUGCGUCCCAUUAGCUUGUUGGUGAGGUAACGGCUCACCAAGGCAACGAUGGGUAGGGGAACUGAGAGGUUUAUCCCCCACACUGGUACUGAGACACGGACCAGACUCCUACGGGAGGCAGCAGUGAGGAAUAUUGGUCAAUGGGCGAGAGCCUGAACCAGCCAAUUGGCGUGAAGAAGGACUGUUCUUAUGGAUGCUAAACUUCUUUAAUAACGGGAAUAACAAGAGUCACGGGUAACUCCCUGCAUGUCCCGUAUGAAUAAGCAUCGGGCUAACUCCGUGCCAAGCAGCCGCGGUAAUACGGAGGAUGCGAGCGUUAUCCGGAUUUAUUGGGUUUAAAGGGUGCGUAGGCGGUUUGUUAAGUCAGCGGUGAAAUCUAGAGGCUCAACCUCGAAACUGCCGUUGAAACUGGCGAACUUGAGUGUAGAUGAGGUAGGCGGAAUUCGUGGUGUAGCGGUGAAAUGCAUAGAUAUCACGAGGAACUCCAAUUGCGAAGGCAGCUUACUAAGGUACAACUGACGCUGAAGCACGAAAGCGUGGGUAUCAAACAGGAUUAGAUACCCUGGUAGUCCACGCAGUAAACGAUGAUAACUGGGCGUAUGCGAUAUACAGUAUGCUCCUAAGCGAAAGCGUUAAGUU